RNAcentral lists this long non-coding RNA (459 nucleotides) under Homo sapiens (human). Its description in RNAcentral is "HSALNT0304058". The record is from RNAcentral. Lineage: Eukaryota; Metazoa; Chordata; Mammalia; Primates; Hominidae.
CUCAUAUCAUCAUUUCAUCUCAUCCUUUCAUUUCAUCUCAUCGUUUCAUCUCCUCAUUUCAUCUCAUCUCACCUCAGCAUUUCAUUUCACCUCAUCAUUUCUUAUUUCAUCUCAUUUUAUCUCAUUUCAUCUCAUAUCUCAAUUCAAUUUCCUUUCAUUAUUUCAUCUCAUUCAUUUCAUCUCCUUUCAUUACAUCUCAUCAUUUCCUCUCAUCAUUACACCUCAUCUCAUCUCAUCAUUUCAUCAUUUCAUCUCAUCAUUGCAUCUCAUCAUUUCAUCUCAUUUCAUCUCAUCAUUCAUCUCGUCACUUCAUCUCAUCAUUUCCAUUUCAUUAUUUCAUUUCAUCAUUUAAUUUCAUCAUCUCAUUUCCUCUCAUCAUUACAUCUCAUCUCAUCUCAUCAUUUCAUCAUUUCAUCUCAUCAUUGCAUCUCAUCAUUUCAUCUCAUUUCAUCUCAUCAU